Molecule: long non-coding RNA, 2441 nt
Organism: Ornithodoros turicata
Lineage: Eukaryota; Metazoa; Arthropoda; Arachnida; Ixodida; Argasidae
Exons: 4
Source: RefSeq, a predicted model, not a curated record
CAGCUCGUCACCGUUGCCACGGCAACGGCGCGCGCACGUGACCCCUAUCGUCACCUGCACGUGGAACGCCGUUCUUGGCCAUCCUCCACCGCAGCUGCGCAUCUCGGUAACCGUCAUUUGGGCGAGGGUGACAGACGACGGAAAUCUUUGCGUCGUUCGUCCUCAGUGAGCGUCGUCUGCGAAGAAAACAUGGCGGAGCUCUACGCAUUUUUCGAGGAUGUUGGCGUGCGUGAGGACGAAAUAACACGCGUAUUUCGUUCUAACAGUGACGCAUUCACUGUCCUGUCAGACGAUGCGUUCAUCAGGCACUUCGGGCUUUCUAAAGAAGCAGUUCGAGAAGUCUGCGAUGCCGUCAGGGAAGACUUGAAACGACCGCAGCAGUGGCGAUCCACCACGCUUACCGUCGAACAAAGGGUGCUCAUGGCACUGCGUUUCUACGGGACCGGGGCCUUUCUUGGUAAUAUAGCUCAUGAAGAAUAUUUCACCACGACCAAGGGCCCUGUCUCGGAGUCUCUACACGCCGUCAGCCUGGCUGUGAUAAAACAUCUCGCACCCAAGUACCUGCGCUUCCCACAAACACCGGAAAGCUGGCCGUGAAACGUGGGUUCUACGACGUUGCAGGCCUGCCUGGAAGCCUUAGUGCAGUCGACGGCACAGCGGUCGCAAUCAUAGCGCCCAGCACCAAGGAUCCGCGUUUCACUGAUGGCAAUUAUUACAGCCACAAUGGGUACCAUGCACUGAACGUGCUGGGGAUUUGCGAUGCUAAUCGCAGAAUCCUCCACCUAAAUGCACGCUAUCCGGGGAGCUGUCACGACGCUGCUGUCUGGUCAAUGUGCAGGAUACGGCAGAGGGCUUCAGUCCUGUUCGACGAUGGGGAGUGGCUGCUCGGUAAGUUACAUGCUUGUGGGCCAAAUAAACUCACAAUCUAUGUACACAAAUAUGGGACAUUUAUUGCUAAAAGAAAGGAUAGUGGUAGAGACAGUAAAGAAAUAUACGCAAUUUAGAAAGACAUAGCUGGAAGGUUUGAGCAUUACUAUUUGUACACAAUGAUGGAUGUUACAAUGAAUGUUAGCAUUAAUGUAGUGAACGUGUCAGAUAAGACAAGGUACAAAGUCUAGUUAUGGAAUAUGUAGAGUGAAUGGUGUAACACGUUAAAUAGAUACACGAACACUAUACAUGUUUAAUAAUCCUAUACAUGUACUAUAUGUAGCAGGAAAAGUCAGAGGAUGACAAAAGCUUACAGAAAAGCACAAAGGGGAGUUUAGUAACACCGAUGUGGGUGAGGUGUUGGCAGACAGUGCCACAGUCCAGGAGGACUGAUCGAAGGCAGCGAUAAACAUUGACCCCAAUCUCUAUCAGUGUUAAUAAACUCCUCUGUGUUUUUUCGUGUAAGCUCUUUGACCCCUUUUGACUUUUCGUACUUGUAUAGAGUAUAUAUAUAUAUAUAUAUAUAUAUAUACACAUAGUAACGACAUAGCCAUUUUCGUUCUGCAAUCGGGUUUUCCAUCCCAACGCCUUAGAGAACAAAGAGAAUCGUUCCUGAUCUACAAAUUUAAAAGCCAGAUCAACAAGGACCCCGGCGUCCUCUCAACAGUUCGCAACCUAAAUUCCUAAUUCUCUCAGAAUACAUACACUCUUUUGUAUCUCUUUCAGACUCCCCGGUUGGUCACCCCAGGAAAUCAUUGCCCUCCGGCGAAGAACUUGACUGCCUAUGAUUCAUUGUACCCCUUUACCUUUGUUUGACAAAGCACGUGUGCUGCCCUCUCUCCUUGUACAUAUUCCCCUCUCAUUCUUUGCAAUUGUCUUGCGUCACCAUAGUAUCCCAUUCCUGUUGAAGACAGCGCUGCUGUCGAAACGUCGAAUACCCCCUCUUAGUUUUUAAUAAAGUCCCCCUUUUAUUCCUUAUCCUGUAGAAGCACCGUCUCCACUUCUGAUCUUUAUUGAAUACCUAUAUAUACACAUACAUACACACAUAUGUAACAUAUCAUUUUCUUCAAAGGAGAUCUUGGCUACCCACUUGAGCCAUGGUUGAUGACUCCAUUCCGGGCUCCGGCAUCAGACAAAGAAGUGGCAUAUAAUGCAGCUCACAGCAGGACUAGGGUUCGAAUCGAGCAAUGCUUCGGAGUGCUGAAAAUGCGAUUCCGGUGCCUGCAAAGGUACCGCACCCUUCACUUUGCACCAGACAGAGGCUGCAAUAUCAUCACUGCUUGUGCUGUGCUACACAAUAUGUGCAUUUCAUACAAUUUGCCUGAGCCUGCAGAGGAGCCUGAACCGGCAGCUACAGAACAUGACAGUGCCACAGUUACAGUGAUUGAGGACGAACCCAGCGAGGAGGGUGAACCCAUCAGUCGAAAUGACUCCUUCAUAUCACAGGCAAUGCGCGUACGUGAGAGAAUUGUCAACAGGUACUUCUAGCAGCCUGUCAAGAAAUGUAUAUACAU